UCUCCGUAGGUGAACCUGCGGAGGGAUCAUUACUGAGCGAGGGUUUAACCGCCCGACCUCCAACCCUUUGUGAAUCGUACUCGUUGCUUCGGGGGCGACCCCGCCGUUUCGGCGGUGGCGCUCCCGGGGUCAAUCAAACACUGCAUUCUCUGCGUCGGAGUAUUAGUAAAUCUAAUCAAAACUUUCAACAACGGAUCUCUUGGUUCUGGCAUCGAUGAAGAACGCAGC
RNAcentral lists this unclassified non-coding RNA (228 nucleotides) under uncultured fungus. RNAcentral's name for it is "sequence contains ITS1, 5.8S rRNA gene". The stretch from base 180 to 228 matches the Rfam family "5.8S ribosomal RNA", at positions 1 to 49 of the family's 154-position model. The record is from RNAcentral. Lineage: Eukaryota; Fungi.